RNAcentral lists this unclassified non-coding RNA (291 nucleotides) under Basidiomycota sp. Its description in RNAcentral is "partial contains small subunit ribosomal RNA, internal transcribed spacer 1, and 5.8S ribosomal RNA". The stretch from base 1 to 47 matches the Rfam family "Eukaryotic small subunit ribosomal RNA", at positions 1785 to 1831 of the family's 1831-position model. Lineage: Eukaryota; Fungi; Basidiomycota. The record is from RNAcentral.
AAAGUCGUAACAAGGUUUCCGUAGGUGAACCUGCGGAAGGAUCAUUACUGAAGUGAUUUGGGGAUGUUGCUGGCCUCUUCUCAGAGGCAAUGUGCACUCCCUGAACAACUCACAAUUUCCAUCACACCCUUGUGCACAUCUUGUAGGUGCCCUCUCACCUCUUAUUGGUCCGGGCAUCCUAUGUAUCCCUUCAUCUCACACUUUUUGAAUGGUGCUCUUGAACGCAUCUUAUGGAUUAUUUGUAAAAAGUAAUCACAGAAACAACUUUCAACAAUGGAUCUCUUGGUUCUG